AAACUAGACAUGUACUAAAGAACAAAACAAAAACUGGCUGGGGGUGGUAGCCCACACUUGUAAUCCCAGCACUUCGGGAGGCUAAGGCAGGUGGAUUGUUUGAGGCCAGGAGGUAGAAGUUGCAGUGAGCUGAGAUUGCCCCACUGCACUCCAACCUGGGGGACAGAGUGAGACCCUGUCUCAAAAAUUAAAAUACUACUUAGGCUACAUUGUGGGGGGGGUGGUAAGUCUAUGGAUUUUGAUUUCCUUUUUGCUGUUUUCUAUUUUUGGUAACAUGUUUAUGUAACUUCAUUUUUUAAAAAAUUGCUACAUUCAAAAUUUCCCCCAAAAAAGAAACUUCAUAUACAAGUUAGUUCAUAUACAAGUUAGAAAAUGAAAUUUUAAAAUACCCCAUAAGACACAUCAAAGAAUAAUUCUUUAAAAAUGGUACCAGAACCCUACAGAGAAUGUAAGGUACCAAAGGAUGUUAAAGACCUAAAUAGAUCACAUUCAUGGGUGCAAAGAAGUGAUACUGUAAAAAGAAAGAAACUCAAAAGAUACCUAAAGGCAGGUGAAAAGACAUUUACAACAGAUAAAGGGCAUAUAAAGAACAACAGGAAGAAACGAGGGAAAUCUUACGGCUCAGCCACUGUCAGGGCUGGGGGGUUCUCGGUGCACCCUGGAAGCAGCUCCCACCACCGGGGCCACAGAGAAACCCACACAAGCCCCAGACACGUGGACAAGAAUACUCAGAGCAGCCUGGCUCUCCACAACUUCUGACCAAGAACCACCGGAGGCCCAGCAGAGCAGAACGGAGCAGUCUGCUGUGCCGAGGUGGGUUUCUGCAGCGGACAUUAUUCGGCUAUGAAAAUGAACUUGUGGCAGCCCCUCUGCAUGGGCAACCCUCAUGCCAAGUGAGCAACGUGAGACUUCAGCAAACACCAAGAUCCACGUACAAAGCUCAAAACAGGCAAAACUGAGCAUGUCCAGGACACGCACAGGUGGCAAAGCCAUAAAGCAAAACGAGGACAUGGUCACAGGCUGGGAUGUGGCUAACCUCCCAGGUGACACCUGGGGAUGGUAAGGGGCUGGCCAGGUUCCAUUUCACAUGGGUGCAGCCUAAACUGCAUACAGCUCCUUAUAGUUACCCACAUGUCCACAGGCCUCACGCACUUUUCUUCUGUGUCACAUUCCACAACAAAAGAACACCACACACAGGAUUCUGGGGAAUCCCACAGGCUGGAAGAGCCAGGAGCGUGGCCUCACCUGGGGUUGAUCUCCAGCGUGGGCUGCAGGAGCUGUGCGCGCUCCUCCUGGGUCUUGGCCAGCUGCUGCAUGCGCAGGAAGUGGCGGGCAGCCCCCAUCUCCAGCACGGUGACCAUGGCAGGGUGGGUGUCCAGUCGGAGGGUCACCUGUGAGCAAAGCCCGGGGUUGAGGGUGAUAGAGGUUCCCAAUGUGAGAGGGCUGGCAGGAUCUUACCAGGGGUGAAGGUCACCCAGACCACGAGGUAGCAGGCGGGGUCUCAAGGACUCCCCUGGACCAGCGCUGCUCCCUCCCCAUUACCCACUAACUUGUGGGCCCUGAGCUGAUGCCCCACGCAAAGAUACUGUGCCCGAGGGGCUCCACCACCCUGGUGCCCCGCUGCUGCCUCCAGGAGCUGCCCGAAUCCAUCGUCCUCUGCUCCAUGCCAGCCCACCCUGCAUGAGGCCCCUUCCUCCAAGUGACCAUGCAUGGGACGCUCAUUUCUCACUCUGAGCUAGACAGGUUGGUGGGGGGAGUCUUAGCUCUCUGAAGCCCACCCAAAACCCCCGACUAAGCACCCAAGUGAGCAUGUGAGCUCCUGAGGGCUGGGGUAGCAUGUCCCUUGUUUGGAACCCCCACGUCCUCAGCCAUUGCAGCUCCCACUCAGGAUGCUGGUUUUUCAGUUCUCAGUUCACACCUGCUCUGGAGCAGGGCUGGGAGAAAGACACGGCCUUCCUGCCUCAGCGGCACUCCCGAGCAACACGUGCCGAGCAGGGACCCACAGGGUCUCCACCUGACACCAAGGGCUUCUGCUGCUGCUGGAAGGACACCCAACGGGCCAGGUACUGGGAGCCACCAGCUGGCCAGCCUGUUAGGGACACUGCGGCCAAGUGGUGGUCCAUCCCCGGGAAAGCCUCACCUUCACGUUGGUGACACGCGACCCCAGCACAUUUCUCAUCCAGGCCAUGAGCUCCUCCGUCUCCUUCUCUGAUAGGCACUCGGCGGCUGCGGAAGAGCAGGCGACAGGGAGCUCAGGCCUGCAUCCCAACUCCCCGGCUUCCAUGGGGGCCACGCAGCAUGCUUCCAGCUCCCACCUCCUCUCCCACCAGGAUGGAGACACAAGCUAGCAAGAUGCUUUUCAUCUAAAAGUAAAACCUCAAAGGAUGCUUCAGGUUGCCUGAGGCCCAUACAACUUGGUUAGGGCUUUAAAAAAAUACACAGCCUCUCAAGAAGCUGGGCCAGCUCCAGAAGCCACCGUGGCAGGAGCACUGGACAGACCCCUGAUAUCUAAACCAGGAGGCACCUUCCUCCAGUCACCAGGGUGCUCCCACAAGGCUCUUCUCGGGGGUGGCUGAGCCCAGGUCAACUGACGAAAACCCAAAGGAAGCCCUCGCUGCGGGGCAGGAGAGGCGUGCGGGGAGUGGAAACCAGCCCCACGCCUAGAGAGCAGGGGAUGCCGACCUGGGGACCUGUCCUCAAACUUCUCCUCCUUGUAGUGAUCCACGACUAUGUCCGUCUCCACAGAGAUCAGCUUCUUCUUGUCAAACUCACGAAGGUGCAGCAGGGUGAGCUCAUCAAACUGCUCAAAGCAGAAGAGAACCUGCAGGUGGCCAAGAGCAGCUCCAUCAGACCCCGGGGGCCUCCAGCCACCACAGAAGAAAGGAUGAGGGCGGCAGGAGGGCUGGGGGAGCCAAGCGGGCCACACUGGGGAACACCGGGGCAGUUGGGGUUCCUAGGCCUGCAUGACAGUUACUACGACACCUGGGUCUAAGGAAGGCUCUGACUGCCUUCAAGGCAGAAGCACUCCACGCAUAAAGAAAUCCACAUGUGGCUGAGUGCAGUGGCUCACGCCUGUAAUCCCAGCACUUUGGGAGGCCAAAGCAGGCAGAUCAUGAGGUCAGGAGUUCGAGACCAACAUGGUGAAAUGCCGUCUCUAUUAAAAAUACAAAAAUUUGCUGGGUGUGGUGGUGUGCACCUGUAGUCCCAGCUACUCAGGAGGCUGAGGCAGGAGAAUGACCUGAACCCAGGAGGCGGAAGUUGCAGUGAGCCGAGAUCGCACCACUGCACUCUAGCCUGGGCGAGAGAGCAAGACUCCAUCUCAAAAAAACAAAAAACAAACAAAAAAAACCACAUGUGACCUCCAAGUGGGAAACAGCCGUCACAGUCGGUCCGGCCUCUGUGCCCGUGACCCUGACCCACUGUGCAGCCCUGCCCGGAGUCUUGGGCAGGUUCACCCAGCACAGAGCUGAGAAGGUCAAGACCCUCCCCAGGUUGCAGCCCCCGGAGCCCGCCCCACCCACCGCUCACCCACCUCUGUGUCUUUCUUCUUCAUGGCCUCAUAGUAGGGUGAGUGCUCUGCCAGGUGACGGUUGGGGGCGCACAGGUAGUAGAUGUUGCGGGUGCCGGCCCGCAUGCGGCUGGCGUAUUCUGAGAGGCUGGUUAGCUGCCCGGAGGGCAGCGCCGAGGACUCGUAGCGCAGCAGCUUUGCUAUGUCCUCCUAGAAGGGACGGGGCAGGUCACCACUUAUUCCAGGCCCAUGGGCUCAAUGUUGCCCAACUAACUGGGCGCAAACCCUCCGAUGCCCAUGGCCUCCUGGCACUCCAGGCUGGCCCUGACCCGAGGGACGGUAGUGGACUCGGGGGUUGUCCGAGAGCAGGCCUUGCUCUGCCCAUCAGGCCCCUUUUGGGAGCUCUGGGGGCUUAGGAAGCACCUCCUGCCCCAGGUGGCCCAGGGGCUCUCCAGGGAGCUACGCGCACCACGCCCUGGGAGGGGACCCCACCCAACAGCAGAGCCCGGCCUGGACCCAGCGUCUUCCCUCUGCCCUCAGUGACAGAGUCAGUCUCUGGUGGGCACACGGACACGGGUGAAGUCCACGGUUCCCGGCCCUCCUCACAGCUGGCUAUGGCAGAGACUGGCUUUGCCCAGUGGGUUUCAGUGGGAUUUGGAGAAGGGCCCUUAGGGGAGGGGUUUGCCCUCCUCCCCAUCAGCUGAACGCAGCUGUGACCUCUAGAGCUCAUGGGAGCUGCAGCUGGAAGGACGCAGGGGGAAAACAGAAAGAGGGAAAAGCAAGGAGCUGGACACCCAACCAGCAGGGCCCAGGCCACCCCUGCACACAUGGUGGGUCUGCAUUGAUAAGACAUGUCACACGUGCACACCUACAAAGACCUAGAAAUGUCUCUGACUCUUACCUGUGUGCUGUUAACUCAAAUGAAGAUAAAGGAGAAUGAAGAGGCCUGUGUCAGAAGCUGCCGAAGUCGGCAAACAACCAGAACACGGCCUCCUUGGGACCCCACACACGUGGUCACCCUCCUCCUGCUGCUGGGGAGAAGGGACACCAGCACGGGAUGGGCUCCUGGGAUGAAAUGUUCUGGGGUUACAGUGGAGGCAGCCACACCACACUGUGAAUGCACUAAAUGCCACUGAAUUUUACGUGUUAAAAGGUGAAUUCUGUGAAUCUGAUGCUAUGUAAGUUGUAUCUCAAUAAAAAAUGGACAAAAAAUGUUUAUGGAA
Molecule: long non-coding RNA, 4731 nt
Filed under: Homo sapiens (human)
Lineage: Eukaryota; Metazoa; Chordata; Mammalia; Primates; Hominidae
Description: long non-coding RNA NONHSAT148075.2
Source: RNAcentral